This is a long non-coding RNA of Lolium perenne, 750 nucleotides long. RefSeq lists it as uncharacterized. The record is from RefSeq and is a predicted model, not a curated record. Lineage: Eukaryota; Viridiplantae; Streptophyta; Magnoliopsida; Poales; Poaceae.
CCUAUAUAAGAGGGAGGGGAGGGCUGGGGCGCAGCACAUCAUUUCCCCAAGCCCUAGCCGCCCCUCUCUCCCUCCUCCUUCUUCCUGCGCAGGCUUGGCGAAGCCCUGCAGGAAUUUCUCCUCCACCUCCACCACCACGCCGUCGUGCUGCUGGGAUUCCGAGGGAAUCUACCACACCUCCGCUGCCCGCUGGAACGGGGAGAGGAUGGGCUUCAUCGACACCGUACGCACGACCGAGUACGGAAGUGCUGCCGGAUUGCAGCACUGGGGACGAUCGUCUACAUCAACAACGAGAUCUGAUCUCGUAGGCUUUGGAAAUCUUCAAGGGGUUUGGUGAUGUGAUAUGGCCAUGAUGUGAUGAUGAUUAUAUUUGAUGUAUGAGAUGUUCAUUAUUGUAUUAUGGCAACCGGCAGGAGCCUAAUGGUUGUCUUUAAAUUUGUUAAGACCUGCGUGUCUAUUCUUCAUGUAAUAGCUUUAUUUCAAGUAGUUGUUAUAGUAGCUAUAAGUGAUGGACAACCAUGAAGCGGUGCCAUGGACCUUGGUGCAAUGCUGGUGAUGAUGGAGAUCAUGCUCGUGUGCUUUGGAGAUGGAGAUCAAAAGCACAAGAAGAAAGGCCAUAUCAUAUCACAUAUUAUGAAUUGCAUGUGAUGUUAAUCCUUUAUGCAUCUUAUCUUGCUUAGAUCGCGACGGUAGCAUUAUAAGAUGAUCCCUCACAUUAAUAUCAAGAUAAUAAAGUGUUCUCCCCUCGUA